AGCAGCCGCGGUAAUUCCAGCUCCAAUAGCGUAUAUUAAAGUUGUUGCAGUUAAAAAGCUCGUAGUUGAAUUUCGGGGUUAGUAGGCUGGUCAUGCCACCGGUAUGUACUGGUCUUACUGAUUCCUCCUUCCUGAUGAACUGUAAUGCCAUUAAUUUGGUGUUGCAGGGAAUCUGGACUGUUACUUUGAAAAAAUUAGAGUGUUUAAAGCAGGCUAACGCUUGAAUACAUUAGCAUGGAAUAAUGAAAUAGGACGUUCGAUCCUAUUUUGUUGGUUUCUAGGAUUGACGUAAUGAUUAAUAGGGAUAGUUGGGGGCAUUAGUAUUCAAUUGUCAGAGGUGAAAUUCUUGGAUUUAUUGAAGACUAACUACUGCGAAAGCAUUUGCCAAGGAUGUUUUCAUUAAUCAAGAACGAAAGUUAGGGGAUCGAAGACGAUCAGAUACCGUCGUAGUCUUAACCAUAAACUAUGCCGACUAGGGAUCGGAUGAUGUUAAUUUUUUAAUGACUCA
RNAcentral lists this ribosomal RNA (508 nucleotides) under uncultured Rhizophagus. Its description in RNAcentral is "SSU rRNA". It matches the Rfam family "Eukaryotic small subunit ribosomal RNA", at positions 569 to 1078 of the family's 1831-position model. Lineage: Eukaryota; Fungi; Glomeromycota; Glomeromycetes; Glomerales; Glomeraceae. The record is from RNAcentral.